This 74-nucleotide transfer RNA is filed under the name Fusarium verticillioides 7600. Its description in RNAcentral is "tRNA-Glu (TTC) (tRNA-Glu-TTC-4-1)". It matches the Rfam family "tRNA". From Rfam's summary of the family: Transfer RNA (tRNA) molecules are approximately 80 nucleotides in length. Their secondary structure includes four short double-helical elements and three loops (D, anti-codon, and T loops). Lineage: Eukaryota; Fungi; Ascomycota; Sordariomycetes; Hypocreales; Nectriaceae. The record is from RNAcentral.
CCCCGGUUGGUGUAGUUGGUUAGCACAUUGCCUCUUCUAGGCAAAGGUCACAAAUUCGAAUCUUGUACAGGGGA